AACGAACGCUGGCGGCAUGCCUAACACAUGCAAGUCGAACGAGACCGUCGGGUCUAGUGGCGCACGGGUGCGUAACGCGUGGGAACCUGCCCUUGGGUUCGGAAUAACUCCCCGAAAGGGGUCCUCAUACCGGAUGAUGUCUUCGGACCAAAGAUUUAUCGCCUUUGGAUGGGCCCGCGUUGGAUUAGCGAGUUGGUAGGGUACAAGCCUACCAAGGCGACGAUCCAUAGCUGGUCUGAGAGGAUGAUCAGCCACACUGGGACUGAGACACGGCCCAGACUCCUACGGGAGGCAGCAGUGGGGAAUAUUGGACGAGGGGCGAAAGCCUGAUCCAGCAAUGCCGCGUGAGUGAUGAAGGCCUUAGGGUUGUAAAGCUCUUUUACCCGGGAUGAUAAUGACAGUACCGGGAGAAUAAGCUCCGGCUAACUCCGUG
This 433-nucleotide ribosomal RNA is filed under the name uncultured bacterium. RNAcentral's name for it is "partial 16S ribosomal RNA". It matches the Rfam family "Bacterial small subunit ribosomal RNA", at positions 29 to 507 of the family's 1533-position model. The record is from RNAcentral.